GAGUGUCACAGGGGUCUGAUGGGGAUCAGACACAUAAGUGAUUGGCUUUAGGUCAAGUGGGAGAUUGCUAGUCAUAGGUGCCCAGCAAACCAAUCACAUGAGUGAUGGCACGUGUGACUUGAUACAGAAUCUUUUAGCUUAUUAUAUUUUGGCAUAUAUCACUUUAUAACUAUUGCAUAUAUGCAUAUAUAUAUAUAUAUUGUGAUGUCCUUGGAUUUGUGCAAUGGGAAUCGGAUCGUGAUGAG
RNAcentral lists this long non-coding RNA (245 nucleotides) under Musa acuminata (dwarf banana). Its description in RNAcentral is "long non-coding RNA (MACU_LNC007375)". Lineage: Eukaryota; Viridiplantae; Streptophyta; Magnoliopsida; Zingiberales; Musaceae. The record is from RNAcentral.